ACCUUCCUGCUUUUGCCUCUCG
RNAcentral lists this unclassified non-coding RNA (22 nucleotides) under Mus musculus (house mouse). RNAcentral's name for it is "oocyte_clustered_small_RNA293". Lineage: Eukaryota; Metazoa; Chordata; Mammalia; Rodentia; Muridae. The record is from RNAcentral.